AGUGAACGCUGGCGGUAGGCCUAACACAUGCAAGUCGAACGGCAGCACAGUAAGAGCUUGCUCUUACGGGUGGCGAGUGGCGGACGGGUGAGGAAUACAUCGGAAUCUGCUUUUUCGUGGGGGAUAACGUAGGGAAACUUACGCUAAUACCGCAUACGACCUACGGGUGAAAGCAGGGGAUCUUCGGACCUUGCGCGAUUGAAUGAGCCGAUGUCGGAUUAGCUAGUUGGCGGGGUAAAGGCCCUCCAAGGCGACGAUCCGUAGCUGGUCUGAGAGGAUGAUCAGCCACACUGGAACUGAGACACGGUCCAGACUCCUACGGGAGGCAGCAGUGGGGAAUAUUGGACAAUGGGCGCAAGCCUGAUCCAGCCAUACCGCGUGGGUGAAGAAGGCCUUCGGGUUGUAAAGCCCUUUUGUUGGGAAAGAAAAGCAGCAGGUUAAUACCCCGCUGUUCUGACGGUACCCAAAGAAUAAGCACCGGCUAACUUCGUG
Molecule: ribosomal RNA, 492 nt
Filed under: uncultured bacterium
Lineage: Bacteria
Description: partial 16S ribosomal RNA
Rfam family: Bacterial small subunit ribosomal RNA
Source: RNAcentral